UCUCCUUCAUUUUUAUAAGGUAGAAUGUUUGUAUGAAGCCUUUGCCUGACCUCAUAAAAGCUUUAUCUUCAUUCUUUUCAGAAGAGAAAAAGUUUGAUUCUGUCUUCCUUUUUGCUUAAAAAGGGGAGAAAAGAGAAAGAGAAUUAUUUUCUAGUGCUUUUUUAAAACCUGGAACACCUUUUAUAAUCUGCCUUCCUCUUUGGCAAUAGCUGACCUCUUUCUGUACUUAGUGCAUUGUAGUCACUAAUGAAAACUGAAUGUCUAUCCCACAAGUUCACAAGCGACUUCCCCUUUCCCUACAUCUUGACUGAGAAGGAGGAGCCAAAAGUUUCUUUCUAUUGUACCUCCUACCUCUAUUAAUAAAGCCUCUUCCAUACCUAUUUCCCUCCCUUUCUUUAUUCUUCCUCUAGGUUUUGUUAGCUGUGCACACACAUAUAGCUCCUAUUGUAGAAUGGAGAAGUUCCAUUGAGGGAAGCAGGAUUAGAAAGCCUGACCUAUGUACAGCAUGAGUUUGGCCAGUUACAUACAUCAAUAGACAGAGUCUAGCUGCCUAAAUUAAUCUUGAUACUGUCAAUACCACACUGAAAUCUUGCUAACAGUGAUUGUAGGGCCAUUAAUCUUUUAUCCAAGGCUGAUCCCAGGGGCAUAACCAUCCUGAAUACAGUUGACUUUGAAGUUCAUCUGGCUAAGAUCCAGAAACAAGCUUUUGGACUUGGAAAGGCUCACUCCAAAUGAAAGGCUUACGAAUGAAAAGGUUCUAUAUGGGAAAAUGGAGGCAAAACCCCCCCCCUGCAUUUGAACAUAGUGCUCUGGUAUCCAUCCUCUUGCCUUGUAUGAUGAAAAUUAAACAUAUGUACAAAUAAAAUGUCAGCUUGAUUGUCUGGCAAUGUUCCUCCAAGAUUUCAAUCUCUCUAGAGUUGUGAAAACCAAAAGUACAGUACAUUCUGGAAUUUGGGAUACAGACAUUUGAUCAGCAGCAGUCCCUAGCAGUGGUUCAGAUAUGGAACCAGAGAUUGAUCUAAAACGUGUGUGUGGUCAAUGCUCAAAGAAAAACAAGCUCUUGGUUUGGAGGAAAACACAGUGUGAAAGGUAAGUCAAUUUUAUUUAUUCAAUUGGCAGUCUAUACAGACACAUAUUCUGUAAACAUUUUUCUGGGAACUGAACAUCAUCUUCUACAAAGACAGAAUUCAUUGAUAAUUGUAGAGACAUUUUCAUACCUGCUUAAAUCUUAUUCUGGGGGAUUGUGAGAAAUAUAAUGAAAAAUGUAACUCUUCUAAAUCUUUGUGCACUAUUUUGCUGGUAACCUUCAAUUGUAUCUCAGUCUUAACCAAAACACAAUUGAAAGUUACCUGCAAAUUAGUGCACAAAGAUUUUGGAGAGUUACAUUU
RNAcentral lists this long non-coding RNA (1388 nucleotides) under Anolis carolinensis (green anole). RNAcentral's name for it is "lncRNA (ENSACAG00000041558.1)". Lineage: Eukaryota; Metazoa; Chordata; Lepidosauria; Squamata; Anolidae. The record is from RNAcentral.